Molecule: ribosomal RNA, 468 nt
Filed under: uncultured bacterium
Lineage: Bacteria
Description: partial 16S ribosomal RNA
Rfam family: Bacterial small subunit ribosomal RNA
Source: RNAcentral
GACGAACGCUGGCGGCGUGCUUAACACAUGCAAGUCGAACGGAAAGGCCCUGCUUUUGUGGGGUGCUCGAGUGGCGAACGGGUGAGUAACACGUGAGUAACCUGCCCUUGACUUUGGGAUAACUUCAGGAAACUGGGGCUAAUACCGGAUAGGAGCUCCUGCUGCAUGGUGGGGGUUGGAAAGUUUCGGCGGUUGGGGAUGGACUCGCGGCUUAUCAGCUUGUUGGUGGGGUAGUGGCUUACCAAGGCUUUGACGGGUAGCCGGCCUGAGAGGGUGACCGGCCACAUUGGGACUGAGAUACGGCCCAGUCUCCUACGGGAGGCAGCAGUGGGGAAUAUUGCACAGUGGGCGGAAGCCUGAUGCAGCAACGCCGCGUGCGGGAUGACGGCCUUCGGGUUGUAAACCGCUUCCGCCUGUGACGAAGCGUGAGUGACGGUAAUGGGUAAAGAAGCACCGGCUAACUACGUG